GAUGAACGCUGGCGGCGUGCCUAAUACAUGCAAGUCGAGCGAACAGACGAGGAGCUUGCUCCUCUGACGUUAGCGGCGGACGGGUGAGUAACACGUGGAUAACCUACCUAUAAGACUGGGAUAACUUCGGGAAACCGGAGCUAAUACCGGAUAAUAUAUUGAACCGCAUGGUUCAAUAGUGAAAGACGGUUUUGCUGUCACUUAUAGAUGGAUCCGCGCCGCAUUAGCUAGUUGGUAAGGUAACAGCUUACCAAGGCAACGAUGCGUAGCCGACCUGAGAGGGUGAUCGGCCACACUGGAACUGAGACACGGUCCAGACUCCUACGGGAGGCAGCAGUAGGGAAUCUUCCGCAAUGGGCGAAAGCCUGACGGAGCAACGCCGCGUGGGUGAUGAAGGUCUUCGGAUCGUAAAACUCUGUUAUUAGGGAAGAACAAAUGUGUAAGUAACUAUGCACGUCUUGACGGUACCUAAUCAGAAAGCCACGGCUAACUACGU
RNAcentral lists this ribosomal RNA (496 nucleotides) under uncultured bacterium. RNAcentral's name for it is "partial 16S ribosomal RNA". It matches the Rfam family "Bacterial small subunit ribosomal RNA", at positions 28 to 506 of the family's 1533-position model. The record is from RNAcentral.